This 2138-nucleotide long non-coding RNA is filed under the name Homo sapiens (human). RNAcentral describes it as "non-protein coding lnc-IQCM-2:2". The record is from RNAcentral. Lineage: Eukaryota; Metazoa; Chordata; Mammalia; Primates; Hominidae.
AUGUGAGAAGAAGCAAUCAGAAGAUUGGCAGGAUUUAGGAAUCUAUUUGAAAUAUUCAUUACCUAUUUUGAAUUGGUCUUAAAAAUUUAAAGAAAUAUAAAGCUGGAUAAUUAAAGAUAAAUAAUAAAGGAAGAAUACAAGGUUUCUAUGCUGUGAAGCAACUGAGAUUAUUAUGAUUUUGGGGCAGUGAAUUUGUUUCUAGAAGUUUUGUUGGAACUAAGGCAGAAAGGAAGAAGAACAAAUGACCUUGGAAUGAAAAACUUUAAGUUACUCCACCUAACCACUAUGAAUGAUAGUCUUGUCUCACCAACCCCAGCCCAUCAUCUGUUGGACUUGGAGCUCACACUUUAAAAAAGAAGAUCAUUCUAACUGCCCCUCAUGACUACUGAAGAGGCUAUGCCUGAAAAAGCAAAAUGUCCUACAUUAGAGAUCACCAAGCAAGACUUUUUUCAAGAAGCAAAAACUCUCAUUGCCCAACAUUAUGAGAAAAUAAAUGAGAAUAAAGUUCAAGGUACUUCUAUAAAUGUUUUUAGAAAGAAACACCAAAAACCGAAAUCUGGCAAAUACAUACCUUUGGAGAUUGACAAAAAGGUAACACGUGAUGUGGUGCAAGAACAUCGGGCCGCACUCAGAAGGAUUUGCUUUCCCAAGGAGCUUUCCAAAAGCGAGCAUCUUCAGGAACCCCCACAACGAAUCUCCUUCAAGGAACCACACAUUUUUAGUAGAAGAGAAAGAUGCAGGCCCAUAGAUCUAAUUACAAAAGGUAUGUAGUGAACCUGUUCCCUGCUCAUGUAUUCAAUUCCAAGUGUAUUCAGAUGACAAGUUAAAUUGGAUAAAAUCAUGACUAUUAUUGAACCAGUGAGUAAAAAAAUGGAGACAGCAAAGCAACAGCACUUUGAGGAGUCCAGAAACAGAAUGUUGGAAUUACUCUAUCCCUUUCCUGUCCAUCUUUACUUACAACCUGGGACCUCUAACUUGGAACUUCUGAAAGAACCUGACAAAGCAUUCUAUGACUGGAGAGGAUUUGUGCUGACAAGGUCUUUCCGUUUGGCUUGUGACUCCCGUCGAGUUAGUUUCUCUCAAUCAUCAUCAAUAUUUCGGGAUUAUUAUUCUAAAACCUUUAAAACCCUUAUUAAAAAGGAGCGACAACCUAUCAAGCCAGAACCAAAAUCACAACCCAGGAUAAAAGGUACUCCAAAUAAAACUGAUAAACUUGACAGUAAAGUUAAAAGAAUUGGACCACACAUAGAAAUCUUCCAAGUGUUCCGAGAAAGAAAAAAAUUCAUGAUUACCCCAAAAUUGAUUAGAAUGGUCACCGUCAUGCAGGCACAUGUCAGGGGAUGGCUUGAACGGAAAAGAUUGCAAAGAGUAAUGACCAAGGCUUUGGAUCAUGGACCAGAUAUGAAAGCAGUUAUUAACAUGUAUGGCAGACUAAUCCACCGUGUUAGAUAUCGACGUGGUCUUUGGAGGACAAGACAAAUUCUCAACUUAGCAGAGCUAGAGGAGUGGAUGGACCGAAAAAAAUUCUAUGAAAUAAUGUUUGCUAAGAGGGAAGAUUGGCCAAAAAUUGAAAGAAAUGAGCUCCCCAAUUUCUUCAGUGACUGUGGUCAUUUCCCAACUCAGAAACAAGUUGAUGAUACUUGGGACCUGGUCCAUCAAGACACACCCAGGAUCAAUAUUUUGCAUCCUUCAAUCCAAUCGAGUUGACACUCAGUAUUAACCAUCACAAGCUCCAAGAAGGUUAAGAGACAUUAACAGACUGAAAAACAACCUGCAGCGUAUAGCUGCCCAGCUAUGCCCAGCCUAGACCAGAUGAACCCCACCUGACUCACAUGAGCUAACUAAAUGUUUAUCAUUGAUAUGAUAAACACAUAUGAGAUGGCAAAGAAAAAUAUUCUGAACUAAUCAAAAAGUCCAAAGCAAUUGAAAUGUUAUUUACACUCUAUCCUCCUGAAGGUGCACAUGUGCCUGACAGUACACUACUCAAGUCGACUUGGUUGAGACCCAUAGUAAAUGGGGAAGAAGGUUAUAGAUAUAUAGUUUUCCACCUGAAAUUAUCAGAAGGUGACCUAUAUCUAUUUGUGUUUGUUGUUUAGAGUCUAUUUGCACUUUGUUAAAAUAAACAAAUUAAAAGGAAA